GUCAGGUGCGAUGGUUUCUGCCUGUUAUCUCAGCUACUUUGGAGGCUGAAGCAGGAGUAUCACUUGAGCCCAGGAUUUCAAAGCCAGUCUGGGCAACAUAGACUCAGUCUCAA
Molecule: small RNA, 113 nt
Filed under: Marmota monax (woodchuck)
Lineage: Eukaryota; Metazoa; Chordata; Mammalia; Rodentia; Sciuridae
Source: RNAcentral